RNAcentral lists this ribosomal RNA (253 nucleotides) under uncultured bacterium. Its description in RNAcentral is "partial 16S ribosomal RNA". It matches the Rfam family "Bacterial small subunit ribosomal RNA", at positions 524 to 776 of the family's 1533-position model. The record is from RNAcentral.
UACGUAGGGUGCGAGCGUUAAUCGGAAUUACUGGGCGUAAAGCGUGCGUAGGCGGUCCGCAAAGUCUGAUGUGAAAGCCCCGGGCUCAACCUGGGAACUGCAUUGGAAACUGACGGGCUCGAGUGUGGCAGAGGGGGGUGGAAUUCCACGUGUAGCAGUGAAAUGCGUAGAGAUGUGGAGGAACACCGAUGGCGAAGGCAGCCCCCUGGGCUAACACUGACGCUCAGGCACGAAAGCGUGGGGAGCAAACAGG